Molecule: ribosomal RNA, 755 nt
Filed under: uncultured bacterium
Lineage: Bacteria
Description: bacterial SSU rRNA
Rfam family: Bacterial small subunit ribosomal RNA
Source: RNAcentral
CCAAUCUAGAGUNUCGGAGAGGAAAGUGGAAUUCCUAGUGUAGCGGUGAAAUGCGUAGAUAUUAGGAAGAACACCAGUGGCGAAGGCGACUUUCUGGACGAAAACUGACGCUGAGGCGCGAAAGCCAGGGGAGCGAACGGGAUUAGAUACCCCGGUAGUCCUGNCCGUAAACGAUGGGUACUAGGUGUAGGAGGUAUCGACNCCUUCUGUGUCGGAGUUAACGCAAUAAGUACCCCGCCUGGGGAGUACGACCGCAAGGUUGAAACUCAAAGGAAUUGACGGGGGCCCGCACAAGCGGUGGAGUAUGUGGUUUAAUUCGACGCAACGCGAAGAACCUUACCAGGUCUUGACAUUGAUGGACAGAACCAGAGAUGGUUCCUCUUCUUCGGAAGCCAGAAAACAGGUGGUGCACGGUUGUCGUCAGCUCGUGUCGUGAGAUGUUGGGUUAAGUCCCGCAACGAGCGCAACCCCUAUCUUAUGUUGCCAGCACGUAAUGGUGGGAACUCAUGAGAGACUGCCGCAGACAAUGCGGAGGAAGGCGGGGAUGACGUCAAAUCAUCAUGCCCCUUAUGACCUGGGCUACACACGUACUACAAUGGGAGUUAAUAGACGGAAGCGAGAUCGCGAGAUGGAGCAAACCCGAGAAACACUCUCUCAGUUCGGAUCGUAGGCUGCAACUCGCCUACGUGAAGUCGGAAUCGCUAGUAAUCGCAGGUCAGCAUACUGCGGUGAAUACGUUCCCGGGCCUUGUACAC